This is a long non-coding RNA of Mercenaria mercenaria, 8730 nucleotides long. RefSeq lists it as uncharacterized. The record is from RefSeq and is a predicted model, not a curated record. The transcript is spliced from 2 exons. NCBI's taxonomy places the organism in Eukaryota, Metazoa, Mollusca, Bivalvia, Venerida, Veneridae.
UUCGUGUCCGCUCUGUAGCAUUUGAACUGCUUGAAGGAUUUCAAAGAAACUCGGCACAAAUGUUCACCACACUGAGACGAUGUGCAGAGCGCAUUUUUCGGAUGACUUGCUUCAAGGUCAAGGUCACACUUAGGGAUCAAACGUCAAUAUAUGACUUUGCUUUGUGUAUAUUGCUCUGCAUUGCAGUGCUCUUGGUUUUAUUUGGCAGAUCCUUAAUUUGGUCACUUACAAUUAUUCUUUUUAAUUACUUCCCUUUCUUGUUACUAUGAAUAGCUUAUUUUGAAAUAUUUUUAUUUUUGGAUGUAGGUAAAACCAAGACCACUUUUUUGUGGUACAACAUAGAUGGUAACUCCCAUUUUUAGGUAUAUUUUGACAUACCUUUACCAGGAGAUUUUUGUGGACUUAGAUUUUUUUUCUUUUGGAUUUUCUUCCCUUUGUUGUUCAAUUUUGCUCCCAUUCUGUGAUGUCACCCUUCGGGCGUAUAUUGCCCCGCUUUGCGGAGCUCUUGUUUUUAGUUGUAACACGGUUGCCAACAACUACAAGGAACGGACACUAACAAAGUUUUAUACCAGUAGGGGACCUCUGUAUUGCCAUUGCAAUACUCGGUCACUUAAAAGGGCUUUGCUACUUUGUGACUGUUUCAACUUUUGAUGGGAGAAACAUUUUCUGUAAAACCAUACUUUUCAAAAAUACUAAUACGGCGCACCAACACAGUAUAGGUUUGGCGCCAUAUAACCUAUACUGUGUUGGUGUGCUGUAAACCCCAAAUAAAUAAAUAAAUAAAUUUAUUUGAUAUAUAAUGUCUAUUUUAAAGGUAUUUAGUAUUUUUGAAAAGUAUGGUUUUACAGAAAAUGUUUCUGCCAUCAGUAUAUAUUUACAAAUUGUGAGCCAUGAAUUAUUUAACACCUUAUGCUUUAACAUAAUUGUUCCCAUAUUUCUCAGUCAUUUUUUUCUACCACAGAAUGCUGAAAAAUAAAUUAUAGAUAUAGUUAAUAAAUAAAAGGGAAGAUCUUUAGAAAGGUUCUAAGGUUAACUACAUGUUUUAUGUCAAGACACCUGCCUGGAUUAUCAGGUUUUUCCAUAUAAUGUCUGCCCUUACAUAUUAUAUAACUGCAGCCUCAGGUGUCGUUGCUGUAUCUGCAGUUUGUCUUCUUUGUACAGAGCUAUUCUUCAUAUGUCCUUUAUUUGCCAGAUGAAUCGAUGAAAUAAUAUCUUACUUCGUCAUUGAUACGUUCCUCCGACAGAUGCAGUGAAGAUCCCAGUUGAUGUGUUGUAUUCGAAACCCUCGUGAGUUACGUUUCUAUCAGAUACAUUGGUCUGGUCAUGAAAAGCUGUAAUUCGAGUGAUCUAUGCAUUUGAGUGCCUACAUGGUCUGAAGAAUUGUUUUACUUUAAAUCAUUGCCUUUAACCUCAUUCAAAGUUGUCUUAUUCGUGUUCAUGAAAAUUUGCUAUGAUCAUGUUGCUGUAUUGUAUGAUGUUUAGAGGUUAAAUCUGAGCACUUAAAAUGAAGUCCUUAGAAGAUCAGUCUUGGCACGUAAGUUUGUAGAAUCUUGUACUAGAUGGUCUUUAUAUUUGUAGAUUUCUAGCGUCGGUAAAUUCAUUUGUCAGUUAUAAUUUACUGUUGUUUAACUUUGUGUUGCAAAUGAAGAAUAAAGCUAAUGUUAUCAUUAUCACUACUGGUUAUGAUCAAAGCAAAUUUAAAGAUAUAGACAUUAAAGUUCUUAUCAUUUUGUCUAGCUAGGGACACUUCAGUGUUCGCUCUAGUCCUGUUGAUCAUUUUGUUAACAUAUACUGAUCCCUUCGUUAUUUCCAUUCCCGUAAUUUCGACUUUUAAUUUACACCUUAUCAAUUUCUCUAAAAGUUGGUCAGUGUUAGAGAUCAUUUAGUGUUUAUUGUAAUGAGAAUGGUCAUCUUGUGAACAUAUUCUAAUAUCAUCGUUAUUUCCGUUUCCAUCAUUUUCACUAACAGUUGUUCUUUACUAGUGAUUCUACAGUGUUUACUGUGAUCAGAUUAGUCGUCUGGUGGAUAUAUACUGAUGUCUUCGUUAUUUCCGUUUCCAUAUUUUCUACCUUGAUUUCUGUUCGUAUCAUUUUCUCUAACAGCUGUUCGUUGCUAGCGAUUCUCCAGUGUUAGUUGUGGUCAGAUUAGUCAUCUUGUGACUGGUGAUUUUUAGCCCACCAUCAUCAGAUGGUGGGCUAUUCAAAUCACUCUGCGUCCGUGGUCCGUCGUCCUUCCGUCCGUUAACAAUUUCUCGUUAUCGCAUCUCCUCAGAAAAUACCAGGGGGAUUUUGACCAAACUUUGCCAGAAUGAUGUUUUGGUACCCUAGUUGUGUCCCUCUGAAAUUGAGACUGGUUCAACAAUUUUUGAGUGAGUUAUGGCCCUUUGUUUAUUUCUAUAAUUUACGUAGAUUUAUAUAGGGAAAAACUUCAAAACAACAGGGCUAGGGCUUUGAUAUUUAGUAUGAAGCAUCAUCUAGUGGUCCUCUACCAAGAUGAUUCAAAUUAUUUGACUGGGGUCUAAUAUGGCCCCGCCUCGGGGGUCACAUGGUUUAUAUAGACCUAUAUAGGGAAAAACUUUGAAAAACCUCUUGUCCAAAACCACAGGGCUUAGGGCUUUGAUAUUUUGUAUGUGACAUCAUCUAGUGGUCUUCUACUAUGAUUAUUCAAAUUAUCCCCCUAGGGUCACAUGGUUUAUAUAGACUUAUAUAGGGAAAAACUUUGAAAAUCUUCUUGUCCAAACCACAAAGCCUAGGGCUUUGGUAUUUGUAAUGUAGCAUCAUUUAGUGGUUCUCUACCCAGUUUUUUCAAAUAAUCCCCCUAGUGUCAAGUACGGCCCCGCCCCGGGGGAGGUGGGGGGUCACAUGGUUCAUAUAGACUUAUAUAGGGAAAAGCUUUUAAAAUCUUCUUGUCAAUAACCAACAACAUUCAGAUUUGGACCACAUGUAUGGUUUUGAAUGGCAAGAUGAACUUUGACCUCGAUUUUGACCUAGUGACCUACUUGCACAUUCCUGUAGCUACAGGCUUCAAAUUUGGACCACAUGUAUAGUUUUGUGCACCGAAAAAAACUUUGACCUUGACAUUGACCUAGUGACCUACUUUCACAUUUUUGAAGGUGCAGGCUUCAGAUUUGGACCACAUGCAUAGAUCUGACCUUGAUUUUGACCUAGUGACCUACUUGCACAUUUCUAAAGCUACAGCCUUCAAAUUUGGACCACUUGCAUAGUUUUGUGUACCGAAAUAAACUUUGACUUUAAGAUUGACUUAGUGACCUACUUUCAAAUUUCUCAAACUACAGCCUUCAAACUUGAUCCACAUGCAUAGUUUUGUGUACAAAGAACUUUGUCCUUGAAAUUGAUCUAGUGACCUACUUUCACAUUUCUCAAGCUACAGCUUUCAAAUUUGGACCACAUGCAUGGACCACGUGCACCGUGUUGUGUACGGAAAUGAAAUUUGACCUUGAGCUAGUCAGUAAGUCUUGAAAUUUGGAACACUCAAAAAUGGCACAUUGGUGGGCGCCAAGAUCACUCUGUGAUCUCUUCUUGUUAUUUCCUUUUCUACGGUCUCGACUUUAAGUCUACUUAAUACCAUUUCUCUAGCGUUUGCCCGACCGUCCAUCUAUCCGUCCGUCAGCAACUCUGGAUGCUGCAAUUGCUUUAAAAGUAUUCAAGCUAGGUUCAUAAAAUCAGGUAUGUUUAUAGAAUGCAGUAUGAAGAUAAUGCACGUACAUGAUUUAUAGUUGUAGGUCAAAGGUCAAGAUCAUUAUUGAAUGUCAAGUAAAAAUUGUUUCUGCUACAUAACUUUUAUAUACAUUGAUGGGUUACCUUAGUGAUACACAUAAAUGUCCCCCAUAAUGUAACAAUGUGUAAACACAUCAUCUAUGCUUGUCGUUUAAAAGUCAAGGUCACUGUUGAAGGUCAAGUGAAAAAAUAUUUCUGCCCCAUAACUUUUAAUUGCACUAAAGGAUUUUUUAUUACAACAAGGAAAUGUUUCCCACGGUUAGACUAUUUGUCUCCCACAUGACCCAUGGUUGUUGGUCAAAGGUCACUUUUGAAGGACAAGUAAAAAUUUGUUUCUGCUUCAUAACAUUUAUGUGUAUUGAUGGAUUAUCUUAAUUCUGCUCACAAAUGUUCACCAUGAUGAGACAAUGUGUCGUGUACAUGAUGUAUGCUUGUAGGUCAAGGUCACUAUUUAAAUUUGAGUAAAAAUAGUUUUUUGGUCUUAGCUCCUUGAAGCAUUUUUAGUCUUAACACUGUUGCCAACAACCACAAGGGACGAACACUAACAAAGUUUUAUACCGGUAGGGGACUUCUGUAUUGCCACUGCAAUACUCGGUCACUUGUUAUAUGUAACCAUAAAGGGUUUGACACUUUGUGAAUGUUUCAACUUCCAUUUGAUAUAUAAUAUCUAUAUUGAAGAUAUUUAAUAUUUUUGAAAAGUAUGGUUUUUAUAGAAUACGUUUAUCCCAUCAGUUCAUGUUUACAAAUUGUGAGCGCAUGAAUUAUUUUACACCUUGUGUUUUAAUAUAUAUAUUCCCGUAUUUCUCAGUCAUGUUUUUAUCUAUCAACAGAGUGCUGAAAAGAAUAUGUGAUAGAUAAAUAGUUGAUAGAUAAAAAGCAAGAUCUUUAGAAAGGUUAUAAGAUUAUCUUUUUAAACUACCUUCUUUAUGUCAUGAAAUUUUCUUGUAUUAUCAGGUUUUUCUACAUAAUGUCUGCCCUUACAUAUUAUUUAACUGCAAACUCAGCUGUUUUGGUUGUAUCUACAGUUUGUCCUUUUUGUACACAGCUGUUCUACAUAGGUCCUUUAUCUUCCGGAUGAACUGAUGAAAUGAAAUAAUAUCUUACUUCGUCAUUGAUAUGUUCCUCCGACAGAUGCAGUGAAUAUCCCAGUGGAUGUGUCGUAUUCGAAACCCUCGUUUGUUAACGUUUCUAUCAGAUACAUUGGACUGGUCAUGAGAAGCUGUAAUUAGUAUGAUUUUUAUGUUCUUUUUCGCUGAUACAUGCAUUUGAAUGUCAACAUGGUCUGAAUUAUUGCCUUCAACCUUAUUCUAAGUUGUCUUGUUCUUGGUCAAGUAAAUAUGCUAUGAUCAUGUUUCUAUGUUUUGUGGUGUUUAGAGGUGAAAUCCGAGCACAUAACAUGAAGUCCUGAGAAGAUAAGUCCUUCCCAGAACAUUCUUUUAUGGUGGUUAAAUAUUAGUGGAGGCUGCUAUAGUUAUAUUUUUCAAUUGUCAUACAGAAAUGUACAUCUGUCACCAUGCAUUUCGAAAUUGGUAUGAACGCAUUCAGGUAAUGCACUCUAUCCUGUCUCACCAAGUCGAUUUUGACACGUAUGUGCGUAGAAUCUUGUAGAUGGGUCUUUUAUUUGUAGAUUUCUAGCAUGGGUAGCUCCAUUUGUCAGAUACUUGCACAGUUAUAAUGUACUCUUAUUCUUCUUCUCCAAUAGUAAUGGCAAACGUUCAAUAAUGAUAUAGUAUGGCCAUGCGUUGGCCAUCUUGUUUAACUUAAUCUUGCAAUUGAAGUAUAAAGUUAUCAUUAUCACUACUGGUUAUGGUUAAAGUAAAAGUAAAACAAAAUGUAGAGUUUAAUUCCAGUUCUUAUUUUAUCAAGAUGUCUACCUAGCGAUUCUUCAUUGUUUACUGUGGUCCUUAUUGAUCAUUUUGUGAGCAUAUACAUGUACUGUACUGAUGCCUUCAUUACUCCCUUUCCCGUAAUUUCGACUUUAAUUUCUGUCCUGAUCAUUUUCUCUAAAAGUUGUUCAUUGUUAGCAAUCGUUCAGUGUUUAUUGUAAUAAGAUUGGUCAUAUUGUGAUCAUAUACUGAUGUCUUCGUUAUUUCCGUUUCCGUCGUUUCUACUUUUAUUUCCGUCCUUACCAUGUUUCUAAUAGUUUCUCAGUGUUAGCGAUUCUUCAGUGUUUACUUUGAUCAGUAUGAUCAUUUUGUGAACAUAUACUGAAGUUUUUAUUAUUAUCUUUUCCAUAGUCUCUACAUUUAUUUCAGUUCAUACCAUUUUCUGUAACCGUUCUUUGCUAGUGAUUCUACAGUGUUUACUGUGAUCAAAUUAGUCAUCUGGUGAAUAUAUACUGAUGUCUUCGUUAUAUCCGUUUCCAUGGUUUCUACCUUUAUUUUCGUCCUUAUCAUUUUCUCUAACAGUUGGUCAGUGUUAGUGAUUCUUCAGUGUUUACUGUGGUUGUGAACAUAUACUGAUGUCAUCGUUAUUUCCUUUUCCGUAGUUUCGACUUUAAUUUCAGUCCUAAUCAAUUUCUCUAACAGUUGUUCAUUAUUAGCGAUUCUUUAGUAUUAAUUAUAAUAAGAUUGGUCAUCUUGUAAACAUAUACUGAUGUCUUCUUUAUUUCUGUUUCCAUCGUUUCUACUUUUAUUUCCGUCCUUAUCUUUUUCUCUAGCAGUUGGUCAGUGUUAACGAUUCUUCAGUGUUAUUAGUAAUCUUGUGAACAUAUACUGAUGUCUUUAUUUCAGUUUCCAUCGUUUCUACUUCUUUAACUUCCGUCCUUAUCAUUUUCUCUAACAGUUGGUCCGUGUUAGCGAUUCUUCAGUGUUUAUUGUGAUAAGGUUGACCUUCUGGUGAACAUAUACUGAAGUCUUUGUUAUUUCCAUUUCCAUAGUUUCUAUUUUUAUUUCAGUUCGUAUCAUCUUUUCUAAAAUUUGUUCUUUGCUAGCGACUCUUCAGUGUUAAUUGUGAUCAGAUUAGUCAUCUAGUGAACAUAUACUGAAGUCUUUGUUAUUUCCGUUUCCAUAGUUUCUAUUUUUAUUUCAGUUCGUAUCAUCUUUUCUAAAAUUUGUUCUUUGCUAGCGACUCUUCAGUGUUAAUUGUGAUCAGAUUAGUCAUCUAGUGAACAUAUACUGAAGUCUUUGUUAUUUCCGUUUCCAUAGUUUCUAUUUUUAUUUCAGUUCGUAUCAUCUUUUCUAAAAUUUGUUCUUUGCUAGCGACUCUUCAGUGUUAAUUGUGAUCAGAUUAGUCAUCUGAUGAACAUAUACUGAAGUCUUUGUUAUUUCCUUUUCCAUAGUCUCGACUUUAAGUCUAGUUAAUAUCAUUUCUCUAGCAGUUGUACUUUAUUAGCUAUUGUUCAGUGUUUACUGUUUUAAGACUGGUUAUCUUGUGAAUAUAUACUAAUGUCAUCAUUAUAUCCUUUUCCGUAGUUUUGACUUUAAUUUCAGUCCCAAUCAUUUUCUCUAACGUUCAUUGUUAGCGAUUCUUCAGUAUUAAUUGUAAUAAGAUUGGUCAUCUUGUAUACAUAUACUGAUGUCUUCUUUAUUUCUGUUUCCAUUGUUUCUACUUUUAUUUCCGUCCUUGUCAUUUUCUGUAACAGCUUUGGUCAGUGUUGGCGAUUCUUCAGUAUUUACUGUGAUCAGAUUGAUCAUCUUGUGAAUAUAUACUGAUGUUUUCGUUACUACCUUUUCCAAAAUCUCGACUCCAAGUCCAGUUAAUAUCAUUUCUCCAGCAGUUGUACUUUAUUAGCUAUUUUUCAGUGUUUACUGCAAUAAGAUUGAUCAUCUUGUGAAUACAUAAAGAUGUCUUCGUUAUUUCCUUUUCCGUAGGUUCGACUUUGAUUUCCGUCCUAAUCAUUUUUUCUAACAGUUGUUCUUUGUUAGCGAUUCUUCAGUGUUAAUUGUGAUCAAAUUGAUCAUCUUGUAAAUAUAUACUGAUGUUUUUUGUUAUUAUUUUUUUCCGUAGUCUCGACUUCAAGUCCAUUUAAUAUCAUUUCUCCAGCAGGGGUACUUUAUUAGCUAUUCUUCGGUGUUUACUGCAAUAAGAUUGGUUAUCUUGUAAAUAUAUAAUGAAGUCUUCAUUAUUUUAUUUUCCGUAGUUUCUACUUUUAUUUCCGUCCGAAUCAUUUUUUCUAACAGUUGUUCAUUGUUAGCGAUUCUUCAGUAUUUAUUGUGAUAAAAUUGGCCAUCUUGUAAACAUAUACUGAUGUCUUCGUAAUUUCCGUUUCCAUAGUUUCUACUUUUAUUUCUUCCCUGUGUAAAUAUAUACUAUAUUCGUUAUUUCUUUUUCCGUAGUGUCGACUUCAAGUCCAUUUAAUACUAUUUCUCUAGCAGUUGUACUUUCUUAGCUAUUCUACGGUGUUUACUACAAUAAGAUUGGUUAUCAUGUAAAUAUAUACUGAUGUCGUUAUUUCCUUUUCCGUAGUUUCUACCUUUAUUUCUGUCCUAAUCAUUUUUUCUAACAGUUGUUCGUUGUUGGCGAUUCUGCAGUGCUUAUUGUGAUAAAAUUGGCCAUCUUGUAAACAUAUACUGAUGUCUUCGUUAUUUCCGUUUCCAUAGUUUCUACUUUUAUUUCUGCCCUGGUCAUUUUUUCUAAAAGUUGCUCUUUCCAAGCAUAGUUUGUGUGGGGUAUUUUUUUUUAUUUUGUAUCAUAUUUAACAAUAAAAGAAUUUAUAUAUGAUUAUUAUAUGAUUAUUAUAUUUAGAUUCUAUUAAGAUUAUCAUUUAUGUAUCUAAUUAUUUAAAAAAAUCAGUUUCACAAAGACAGGAGGCUAUAUUGGAGUCACACACGUCCGUAGGUCCAGAGGAAUAUCCCUGAAACUAUUAUGAAAAAAAAGUUUUUAUUCAAGAAUAUUUGUUAACUAAUGUUGACUGCUAAAUACUCUGUUAUUAACUUAUUCAUUAUACAUGUAUUUGUAGUGAGAUUAAUUGAAAAUGUGAUUAUGGUUUUUAAUAAUUUGUUAUUUUUUGUACGAUAUACAAUACAAUUUAGAAUAAAUUUUGUGUAAUAAA